GUGCCAGCAGCCGCGGUAAGACGAACCGAGCGAACGUUGUUCGGAAUCACUGGGCUUAAAGGGCGCGUAGGCGGGUUUGCAAGUCCGGGGUGAAAUCCCACAGCUCAACUGUGGAACUGCCUCGGAUACUGUGAGUCUCGAGGGUGGCAGGGGUAUGCGGAACUAUCGGUGGAGCGGUGAAAUGCGUUGAUAUCGAUAGGAACUCCGGUGGCGAAGGCGGCAUACUGGUCCACUUCUGACGCUGAGGCGCGAAAGCCAGGGGAGCAAACGGGAUUAGAUACCCCCGUAGUCC
This 292-nucleotide ribosomal RNA is filed under the name uncultured bacterium. RNAcentral's name for it is "partial 16S ribosomal RNA". It matches the Rfam family "Bacterial small subunit ribosomal RNA", at positions 505 to 796 of the family's 1533-position model. The record is from RNAcentral.